ACUCACCCUAAGUAGCCUGGAUAAGAUAUAAGGGAUAGAAAGAGCUGUGGUUGACCCUUGUUGCUUUGCUACUUUUUGGCCACCAUGAACUUUCUCUUCUCGGAUGCCUAUCUGCCAUACCACCCUGCCUUGGAGCCAGCUGAUUAUGGACUGAAGCCCCUACAAACUGCCCAUCCACAGAAGCUAAAGUGAUGGAGGAAGACUUUUCCCUCCUUUACAGUAUGCUGGAUCGUCAAGUUACAGAACUGAUUUUUGAUCACAGACUUCUUUGAAAAUCUGCUAUUAUCUCUGAACCCUCUGCUUAAGGAAUGGCAUGUGUUCUACAUGUGGUACAGAAGUUUAACAGAAGGAAGAGGAGAUUGGAACAUAGGAGGAAGUUAAUGGAGAAAGGAAUCAAGGCAGUCAUUCUUUGGGAGGGUGGAGGACAGAUCAGUCAUGUGAGAUGUGCUGUAUUUUGUAGUCUACACGGCAUGAUUUAAGAUUCUCCUGUGAGAGAGCCUGCCUGGACAAC
Long non-coding RNA from Heterocephalus glaber (naked mole-rat), 511 nucleotides. Lineage: Eukaryota; Metazoa; Chordata; Mammalia; Rodentia; Bathyergidae. The record is from Ensembl.